AGGACGAACGCUGGCGGCGUGCUUAACACAUGCAAGUCGAGCGGAAAGGCCCUUCGGGGUACUCGAGCGGCGAACGGGUGAGUAACACGUGAGCAAUCUGCCCUUAGCUUCGGGAUAGCUCCGGGAAACCGGAAUUAAUACCGAAUACGACUACGGCCGACAUCGGCCAUGGUGGAAAGUUUUUCGGCUAGGGAUGAGCUCGCGGCCUAUCAGCUUGUUGGUGGGGUAAUGGCCCACCAAGGCGACGACGGGUA
RNAcentral lists this ribosomal RNA (254 nucleotides) under uncultured bacterium. RNAcentral describes it as "partial small subunit ribosomal RNA". It matches the Rfam family "Bacterial small subunit ribosomal RNA", at positions 26 to 285 of the family's 1533-position model. The record is from RNAcentral.